This 321-nucleotide ribosomal RNA is filed under the name uncultured bacterium. RNAcentral's name for it is "bacterial SSU rRNA". It matches the Rfam family "Bacterial small subunit ribosomal RNA", at positions 29 to 334 of the family's 1533-position model. The record is from RNAcentral.
AACGAACGCUGGCGGCGUGCUUAACACAUGCAAGUCGAGCGAGAAAGCUCCCUUCGGGGAGUGAGUAAAGCGGCGGACGGGUGCGUAACACGUGGAUAACCUGCCCUUUGGUUCAGGAUAACAUUUCGAAAGGAAUGCUAAUACGGAAUACGUCCAUCCCUCGCAGGAGGGAUGGGGAAAGAUGGCCUCUAUACUAUGCUAUCGCCGGAGGAUGGGUCCGCGGCCCAUCAGCUUGUUGGAGAGGUAACGGCUCACCAAGGCAAUGACGGGUAGCUGGUCUGAGAGGACGAUCAGCCACACUGGAACUGAGACACGGUCCAG